Molecule: small nuclear RNA, 107 nt
Organism: Phyllostomus discolor (pale spear-nosed bat)
Lineage: Eukaryota; Metazoa; Chordata; Mammalia; Chiroptera; Phyllostomidae
Source: RefSeq, a predicted model, not a curated record
GUGCUCGCUUCGGCAGCACAUACCUUAAAAUUGGAACAAUACAGAGAAGAUUAGCAUGACCCCUGAGCAAGGGUGAUGUGUAAAUCUGUGAAGCAUCCCUAAUUUUA